This is a long non-coding RNA of Sarcophilus harrisii (Tasmanian devil), 1092 nucleotides long. RefSeq lists it as uncharacterized. The transcript is spliced from 5 exons. Lineage: Eukaryota; Metazoa; Chordata; Mammalia; Dasyuromorphia; Dasyuridae. The record is from RefSeq and is a predicted model, not a curated record.
CAUAAGCACAUUUUUAUAACUUCCUACAGAGGCUGGUGUCAGGCAUUCUCCAGAUAAGGUUUGGAGGCAGUGUGUCAGCAGCAACUCCCUCUUUCCCAGGCUGUUUGUCAAAACAAACGGCUGCAGAGUGGGCUGAGGGAUGAUGAGCGUUUCUCGUGUUGGCAGGAGAAAGUAAACAAUUGAGGUGAUGCUGAAGUCAAGAAGACUCAGAUCCGGACUCAGACACACACUAGCUGCAUGAUCCUAGGCAAGGCACUUACCCCACUGGGAUGGUCUCAGCCUCCUCAUUGGAAAAAUGAUUUGGAGAAGGUAAUGGUGAACCGUUCCAAGAUCUUUGCCAAGAAAACCCCAAAUAAAGUCACAAAGAAUUGGACAAGACUGAACAACAAUAAGUGUGCUAAGUACUGAGGAUAUUAAAAGAAGCAAAUCCCUGCCCUCAAGGACAAUAACAAAGAAUGCAUGAGUGGAUAAGAUGGGAUUUUACACGUGUUCAAAUCAAGCUCUAUAAGAACCAACAGACCAAACAAGUUGCCUGAUGAGAGACAUGUUGCUGGGUUCUGUGUAAGCAUCAACCUCUGCUUCCUGGCAAGGCUCAAGGAUGGGACUCAGCAGUUUAUUUUCACCAGAAGCCUCAGUCUCCUCCCUAAGGCUGGCAAAAUCAGCAAACUGCCCUAGCACUAAGGCCGGCCUAUCGUGGUCUCUUGAGGAUGCAGUGACCCGAGGGGAAGUCACACUGAAAAAAGGGCUGAAAGUUACCAGCUGAGGGCAAGAGCCAGAGCUCCAAAGUUACCUGUGUCGAUGCUCCCUUGGGUACUGCUGCUUGCCCUUCCUAUGGAAAGACUACGAUGGCUGGCGUUACGAAACUGGGAGGAGAAGGAAGAAGUGGAGUCUAUGGUGUUUCUCCGAGCUCCGAAGGCAUUGCUCUCCAUCUGGCAGGCCCAAAUGGCACGCUGAUUCGGCGGUGAUGGAAGAAUUUGGCCACCCUUCUACCCAACGCUUGUUGCUGUGUGGAGCCAGUCAGAGGUCCUGCCGAACCCCCAGGGACACGGUUUGGGAUGCCAGAGAACAGGCCGAGUAUCACAUUUCCUGAGC